This 747-nucleotide ribosomal RNA is filed under the name Gymnosiphon capitatus. Its description in RNAcentral is "eukaryotic LSU rRNA". The stretch from base 336 to 491 matches the Rfam family "5.8S ribosomal RNA". Lineage: Eukaryota; Viridiplantae; Streptophyta; Magnoliopsida; Dioscoreales; Burmanniaceae. The record is from RNAcentral.
CAGGUUUCCGUAGGUGAACCUGCGGAAGGAUCAUUGUCGAGACCCGAGGAUUUAAGGAAUAAACCGACGGUAGAUAUGUCCAUCAAGUGUGCCGCUUCGAUGGGGGUGUGUACGUACAAUUGGAUGCUUCUCAAGCAUCCAGUCCUGGCCAUCCCUUUCGGACGCGGAUUAUGUCAUGCCGUUUCUCCCCGUCGGGGGGUGCGACUGACAAACCGGUUAAACGGGCACGAUACGUGCCAAGGAUCUUCACAAUGAUAGCCUCCGUUUAGUGUGGUGUCGGGUCUUGAUGACUCUCGCCCGCUUACGGGAGCUACCUAUAAUUUUGUAUCUAUGAUGACUCUCGGCAACGGAUAUCUAGGCUCUCGCAUCGAUGAAGAACGUAGCGAAAUGCGAUACUUGGUGUGAAUUGCAGAAUCCCGUGAACCAUCGAGUCUUUGAACGCAAGUUGCGCCCGAGGCCUUCGGGUCGAGGGCACGCCUGCUUGGGAGCCAUGCCUCGUCUCGCUCCGUGCAUCCGAUGCUCCGGCAUCGGGAUAGACGGAAGUGGAUAUUGGCACACCGUGUCCAUUUCGGUGCGGUGUGCUAAAGAACGGGAUGCCAAUGUGGGGCACAAGGGCACGACUAGUGGUGAACGGACAUCUCUAUUGGCCGAGGCCGAUGUCGUUUCCCUCCCUUGGCAUCCAUCGGGCACAAUCCUUUUCAUGAAGGGAUUGUUACCUACUCGUGUUGCGACCCCAGGUCAGGCGGG